Molecule: transfer RNA, 72 nt
Filed under: Paenibacillus cremeus
Lineage: Bacteria; Bacillati; Bacillota; Bacilli; Caryophanales; Paenibacillaceae
Rfam family: tRNA
About the family: Transfer RNA (tRNA) molecules are approximately 80 nucleotides in length. Their secondary structure includes four short double-helical elements and three loops (D, anti-codon, and T loops).
Source: Rfam by way of RNAcentral
UGGGGAUUAGCCAAGCGGUAAGGCAACGGACUUUGACUUCGUCAUGCCUAGGUUAGAAUCCUAGAUCCCCAG